This 407-nucleotide ribosomal RNA is filed under the name fungal sp. Its description in RNAcentral is "partial large subunit ribosomal RNA". It matches the Rfam family "Eukaryotic large subunit ribosomal RNA", at positions 22 to 423 of the family's 3401-position model. Lineage: Eukaryota; Fungi. The record is from RNAcentral.
GUACCCGCUGAACUUAAGCAUAUCAAUAAGCGGAGGAAAAGAAACUAACAAGGAUUCCCCUAGUAACGGCGAGUGAAGUGGGAAGAGCUCAAAUUUUGAAUCUGGCAGCCUCGCUGUCCGAGUUGUAAUCUCUAGAAGUGUUUUCCGCGCUGGCCCGUGUAUAAGAAAGUUGGAAUACGGCGUCAUAGAGGGUGAGAAUCCCGUCCUUGACACGGACAACCAGUGCCUUGUGAUACACUCUCGAAGAGUCGAGUUGUUUGGGAAUGCAGCUCAAAAUGGGUGGUAAAUUCCAUCUAAAGCUAAAUAUUGGCGAGAGACCGAUAGCGAACAAGUACCGUGAGGGAAAGAUGAAAAGCACUUUGGAAAGAGAGUUAAACAGUACGUGAAAUUGUUGAAAGGGAAACGCU